RNAcentral lists this ribosomal RNA (962 nucleotides) under Sarcophaga nemoralis. RNAcentral describes it as "eukaryotic LSU rRNA". It matches the Rfam family "Eukaryotic large subunit ribosomal RNA", at positions 118 to 906 of the family's 3401-position model. Lineage: Eukaryota; Metazoa; Arthropoda; Insecta; Diptera; Sarcophagidae. The record is from RNAcentral.
GUCACUUUGUCUUUAUGGCAAAUGUGAGAUGCAGUGUAUGGAAUGUCAAAUUUCUAGUAUGAGAAAUUAACGAUUUAAGUCCUUCUUAAAUGAGGCCAUUUACCCAUAGAGGGUGCCAGGCCCGUAUAACGUUAAUGAUUACUAGAUGGCAUUUCCAAAGAGUCGUGUUGCUUGAUAGUGCAGCACUAAGUGGGUGGUAAACUCCAUCUAAAACUAAAUAUAACCAUGAGACCGAUAGUAAACAAGUACCGUGAGGGAAAGUUGAAAAGAACUCUGAAUAGAGAGUUAAAUAGUACGUGAAACUGCUUAGAGGUUAAGCCCGAUGAACCUGAAUAUCCAUUAUAGAAAAUUCAUCAUUAUGAUUUUAAUAUUAAUAAUAUUAUAAUAAUAGUGUGCAUUUUUUCUAUAACGGACAUUGUAAUCUAUUAACAUAAAUAUAUUUAUCAUAAGAUCAAUGAUGCGUAAGUUUAUUCAAAUUAUUUUGCUUGCAAUUUAACAUAGAAUAAAUGCUCUUGAUUUGAUAAAGUGUUGAUAGAUUUAUUGUAUAUAGUGCUUAAAUAUUUAUAUUUUAUAAUAGCAUAUUAAUCAUUGAUUUUUAUGUUUAUUAUAUGCACUUAUAUGAUUAACAAUGCGAAAGAUUCAGGAUACCUUCGGGACCCGUCUUGAAACACGGACCAAGGAGUCUAACAUAUUUGCAAGUUAUUGGGUAUCAAAACCUAAUAGCGAAAUUAACAUAACUUUAAUGGGAUUAGUUUUUAGAUUAUUUAUAGUCUAUUAAUUCAAUCCCGGGGCGUUCUAUACAGUUAUGUAUAAUAAUAUUUAUAUUAUUUAUACCUCUAACUAGAGCGUACCUUGAGCAUAUAUGCUGUGACCCGAAAGAUGGUGAACUAUACUUGAUCAGGUUGAAGUCAGGGGAAACCCUGAUGGAAGACCGAAACAGUUCUGACGUGCAAAUCGAUGUC